ACUCCUACGGGAGGCAGCAGUAGGGAAUCUUCCACAAUGGGCGCAAGCCUGAUGGAGCAACACCGCGUGAGUGAAGAAGGGUUUCGGCUCGUAAAAACUCUGUUGUUAAAGAAGAACAUAUCUGAGAGUAACUGUUCAGGUAUUGACGGUAUUUAACCAGAAAGCCACGGCUAACUACGUGCCAGCAGCCGCGGUAAUACGUAGGUGGCAAGCGUUGUCCGGAUUUAUUGGGCGUAAAGCGAGCGCAGGCGGUUUUUAAGUCUGAUGUGAAAGCCUUCGGCUUAACCGGAGAAGUGCAUCGGAAACUGGAUAACUUGAGUGCAGGAAGAGGGGUAGUGGAACUCCAUGUGUAGCGGUGGAAUG
This 363-nucleotide ribosomal RNA is filed under the name uncultured bacterium. RNAcentral describes it as "bacterial SSU rRNA". It matches the Rfam family "Bacterial small subunit ribosomal RNA", at positions 335 to 688 of the family's 1533-position model. The record is from RNAcentral.